This 409-nucleotide ribosomal RNA is filed under the name uncultured bacterium. RNAcentral's name for it is "bacterial SSU rRNA". It matches the Rfam family "Bacterial small subunit ribosomal RNA", at positions 32 to 424 of the family's 1533-position model. The record is from RNAcentral.
AAUCAACGCUGGCGGCGUGCCUAACACAUGCAAGUCGAACGCGACUGGGGCUUCGGCCUCAGUUGAGUGGCGAACGGGUGAGUAACACGUGGGUGACCUACCUUCGAAUGGGGGAUAACGUCCCGAAAGGGACGCUAAUACCGCAUAACAUCCUGCCUUUGAACAGGCGGAGAUCAAAGCCGGGGAUCGCAAGACCUGGCGUUUGAAGAGGGGCCUGCGUCCGAUUAGCUAGUUGGGAGGUAACGGCUCACCAAGGCGACGAUCGGUAGCCGGCCUGAGAGGGCGGGUCGGCCACACUGGCACUGAGACACGGGCCAGACUCCUACGGGAGGCAGCAGUGGGGAAUUUUGGGCAAUGGGCGCAAGCCUGACCCAGCAACGCCGCGUGAAGGAUGAAAUCCCUCUGGGAU